AUACGUAGGGUGCGAGCGUUGUCCGGAAUUAUUGGGCGUAAAGCGCAUGUAGGCGGUUUGGUAAGUCGGUCGUGAAAAUGCGGGGCUUAACCGCGUAUGGGGAUCGAAACUGCUGAACUUGAGGGCAGGAGAGGAAAGGGGAACUUACAGGGUAAGGGGGGAAUGCGUAGAUAUUGGGAAGAACACCGGUGGCGAAGGCGCCUUUCUGGACUGUGUCUGACGCUCAGAUGCGAAAGCCAGGGUAGCGAACGGGAUUAGAUACCCCGGUAGUCCUGGCCGUAAACGAUGGGUACUAGGUGUGGGAGGUAUCGACUCCUUCCGUGCCGGAGUUAACGCAAUAAGUACCCCGCCUGGGGAGUACGGCCGCAAGGCUAAAACUCAAAUGAAUUGACGGGG
This 396-nucleotide ribosomal RNA is filed under the name uncultured bacterium. RNAcentral describes it as "partial 16S ribosomal RNA". It matches the Rfam family "Bacterial small subunit ribosomal RNA", at positions 523 to 918 of the family's 1533-position model. The record is from RNAcentral.